This 64-nucleotide transfer RNA is filed under the name Camelus ferus (Wild Bactrian camel). It matches the Rfam family "tRNA". Rfam says of the family: Transfer RNA (tRNA) molecules are approximately 80 nucleotides in length. Their secondary structure includes four short double-helical elements and three loops (D, anti-codon, and T loops). Further hydrogen bonds mediate the characteristic L-shaped molecular structure. tRNAs have two regions of fundamental functional importance: the anti-codon, which is responsible for specific mRNA codon recognition, and the 3' end, to which the tRNAs corresponding amino acid is attached (by aminoacyl-tRNA synthetases). tRNAs cope with the degeneracy of the genetic code in two manners: having more than one tRNA (with a specific anti-codon) for a particular amino acid; and 'wobble' base-pairing, i.e. permitting non-standard base-pairing at the 3rd anti-codon position. The record is from Rfam by way of RNAcentral. Lineage: Eukaryota; Metazoa; Chordata; Mammalia; Artiodactyla; Camelidae.
GGCUGUAUAGCUCAAGUGGUAGAGCACAGGUAUGAGGUUCUGGGUUCAAUCCCCGGUACCUCCU